GACGAACGCUGGCGGCGUGCUUAACACAUGCAAGUCGAACGGACAGGCCCUGCUUUUGUGGGGUGCUCGAGUGGCGAACGGGUGAGUAACACGUGAGUAACCUGCCCUUGACUUUGGGAUAACUUCAGGAAACUGGGGCUCAUACCGGAUAGGAGCUCCUGCUGCAUGUUGGGGGUUGGAAAGUUUCGGCGGUUGGGGAUGGACUCGCGGCUUAUCAGCUUGUUUGUCGAGUAGUGGCUUACGAAGGCUUUGACGGGUAGCCGGCCUGAGAGGGUGACCGGCCACAAGGGGACUGAGAGACGGACCAGAAUCGUACGGGAGGCAGCAGUGGGGAAUAUUGCACAAUGGGCGGAAGCCUGAUGCAGAAACGCCGCGUGCGGGAUGAUGUGCUUCGGGUUGUAAACAGAUGUCGACGGUGACGAAGAGUGAGUGACGGUAAUGGGUAAAGAAGCAACGGCUAACUACGUG
Molecule: ribosomal RNA, 468 nt
Filed under: uncultured bacterium
Lineage: Bacteria
Description: partial 16S ribosomal RNA
Rfam family: Bacterial small subunit ribosomal RNA
Source: RNAcentral